RNAcentral lists this unclassified non-coding RNA (328 nucleotides) under uncultured Madurella. Its description in RNAcentral is "sequence contains ITS1". The stretch from base 1 to 105 matches the Rfam family "5.8S ribosomal RNA", at positions 50 to 154 of the family's 154-position model. The record is from RNAcentral. Lineage: Eukaryota; Fungi; Ascomycota.
GAAAUGCGAUAAGUAAUGUGAAUUGCAGAAUUCCGUGAAUCAUCGAAUCUUUGAACGCACAUUGCGCCCGCCAGUACUCUGGCGGGCAUGCCUGUUCGAGCGUCAUUUCGACCAUCGAGCCCCCGGGCUCGCGUUGGGGAUCUGCGGCCGCGCGCAGGCCCCGAAAACCAGUGGCGGGCUCGCCGUCACCCCGAGCGUAGUAGCGGCCGUUUCUCGCUCCGGGGCGUGGCGCGGGACCCGGCCGUUAAAGGGCGCGGGAGCACGCUGAUCAGGCGUGCCCAACCCCAAGAUUGACCUCGGAUCAGGUAGGGAUACCCGCUGAACUUAA